AGCAGCCGCGGUAAUUCCAGCUCCGAUAGCGUAUAUUAAAGUUGUUGCAGUUAAAAAGCUCGUAGUUGAAUUUCGGGGUCAAUACGUCGGUCGUGCCUCGGUACGCACUAACGUUAUUGAUUCCUCCCUUCUGACGAACCGUGAUGUCAUUAAUUUGGUGUUGCGGGGAAUCAGGACUGUUACCUUGAAAAAAUUAGAGUGUUUAAAGCAGGCAAUCGCUCGAAUACAUUAGCAUGGAAUAAUGAAAUAGGACGUUCGAACCUAUUUUGUUGGUUUCUAGGAUCGACGUAAUGAUUAAUAGGGAUAGUUGGGGGCAUUAGUAUUCAAUUGUCAGAGGUGAAAUUCUUGGAUUUAUUGAAGACUAACUACUGCGAAAGCAUUUGCCAAGGAUGUUUUCAUUAAUCAAGAACGAAAGUUAGGGGAUCGAAGACGAUCAGAUACCGUCGUAGU
Molecule: ribosomal RNA, 450 nt
Filed under: uncultured Glomeromycotina
Lineage: Eukaryota; Fungi; Glomeromycota
Description: SSU rRNA
Rfam family: Eukaryotic small subunit ribosomal RNA
Source: RNAcentral